CCGCGCCCGCCCCGCUCCAGGCGCUGGGAGCGACCGCGGCCGGACAAUCCCGGCGGGGCGGCCCCGGGCAGGCGGCGCAGGAGGCGGAGCGGGGCCGUGGCUCUCCCCGCCGUCGCUGCCGGCAGCUUUGGAAGGUCCGUGCUGGAGAGUGGGAGAAAGGGCCCUGCUGGUUGCCGUGUCCUCGGUGGGCAGCGAGCUCUGACCUUGGCCGGAUGGGCUGCUGAGUAAUGGAACAAUGGGGAUGCGCUUUUAUGUAUUUAGUGACCUUUACAGAUUUCUCCCCCUGCUUCAGACUCAUCACAGCAGGACAGCAUGAAGACUGAAAGUGUAAGAAGAUGUGGAGGGAAAGAGAGAAUCUGACAGGAGCAUUGAACGCACAGGUGUUUCUGGGCAUCUAAAGCAGCAGAGGCUUGGAAGAGACUGUGAAGAAAACAGCAUGGAAUACAGGGAGUAUGAGGAGCACACCUUUCAGAGAUUCCAGGUUGUGUCAAGUACAACACUUUUUGCAGCAGAUUGAUUGUGUCACAGGAGGGAUCUGCCCAGUGUCCAAGAUGAUGUUUGAGAUUGAGGCUUCAGGUGCCAGCCCUAAUAAAGGCCACAGCCUUGGAAUCAGGAUGAAGCUGGAGCCUGAGGGAGCCAGGCACACUCAGGAGAGGCUGACCGAGAGGCUCACAGGCCAUCACGAGGCUCUCUGAAGCAGACUCAUUUCAGGUGCAACGUGGAUUCCCAUCACCGAUCAUCCAAAAGAUAAGUUGGGAGCCACGGCCUGGAGAUGGGGGUGUAGCAGGUUGGGAGUUCUUGGGACAGAUUUAAAAAUUAGCAAAGGGAAAAGCAAACUUGUCCAAGGGCCUCUGAGGACAGCUAAAGGGAGAGGCUCUACUUUUGAUGGCAGCUUUCAGGCGGGCAGUGCAGAACAGCUCUGGUUUGUGUCGUGGUUUCCGGUGUGCCGUGUUCCCUAGUGUGUCUUUGGGGUCCCUUUUGCCUUCUUCCCUCGAGGCCCUCACCACAAGCAUGAUGUGUGGUGUUUGAUGUCCCCCUGUUUGUCACGUUCUGUGUCACGGGUGUCUGCACGUAUUUUUGCUGGAUCUGUUCUGCCCUGCCACAUGGCCUGCUGCAAUAAGAAAAGCCUGGGGAGUGUAAAUUUGUAAUGGGGGCUGUACUUGGGCUCGAGGUGCUGUUUCUAGGUUGACAUAAGGUGUUUGCAGCUUUUGAGUUAUCCUGGUGGUGUUUGACACAUGUUCUAACUUUCUUUCAGGUGCAGAUGCAUUGCAUCCAUGGCAGAGGGUCAGAGUUAGCAGGUGCCGGGCCUUCCUAGGAGCACGCUGUCUGAGAGACACCGGCCCGGUGACAGCAGGACCUUCCCAGCUGACGAGGUGGCCUUUCUUUGCACCUGGCACGGACCGGCAUCGCCAGAUGUCUGAGAGAUAAGUAGAGGGCUAUGACCCACAGAGGGGAUGAAGGCAGGGUGCUGGUUUGGGAAUUACUGGGAGGGGUUUUUGAGUCCAAUUUGGCGGUGGGGGGGUGUCCAUGAAGUGGCCCCUUAGGCCCCAUAAAAGCCAAGUCUCACCUUUGAUCACAGUGCUGAGGCGUUCAGGGCAGAGCAGUCCCGGUGUGUCUGGUGUCACUUGUCUGCUGUGCAUUAUGUGUUGUUUGUGUAUCUCCUGUCUUUUACCUUAGCACAUUGAGGGGCCUGUCAGAAACCUUGGCAUCAUUGUUAGCAUCUGUGAUCUCUGCAUUCCUUGGCCUGGCACCCAGGCUAUAGAACUUUUGACUCGGGAGCUCAGGCAGGCAUCAGACUCUCUUAUCUAUUUAGAAGCAUCCAGUCAGAUGUCUUGUCAGGUCUUGUUCUGAGCUGUACGGACAGCUGUGCCCCACCUGGAUCCAUUAUGGUGGAUUAGGGCUUGAAAGAAUGUGAGGGCAGGCAGAGGAUUCUGACCAUAGGAUUCCUAGGCAUCCAUCUUUACUGUUCUUGGAAUCAAUCAUUCAGUUAGCAUCUUCUUCCUGCAGUGUUCUCUGAGCCUCAUCAGCUCACCGUCAGUUUGAACUCAGUCAUCUCCUUUUGCAUGCUCUCAGUCCUUGCAGCCAUUUUCCUUGCCAGGAGAUUUCUGUUCCUGUUGUGUCCCCAUUGUGUGUCCUGUCCUGUCUGUCCUGUGUCACGGGUGUCAGCACACAUUUGUGCCGGGGCUGCUCUGCCCUGCCGCAUAGCCUGGUGCGAUAGGAGAGGGCCCGGGGACUUGGAAUGUGUAAUGUGGGGUGCAGUUGGACUCCAGAUGGGAUUUGUAGAUGGGCACAGGACAUCUGGAGCUCUUAAGUUGUCCUGCAACAGUGUGACUCUUGUCCUAACGUUUUUUUUCAGAUUCAGAUGAAUUAAAUCUGGGCCAGAAGGCAUCAUCCCGUGUGAGGGGAUUCCCCCGAGCAGGAAGUGAAUCUGGAUAGCAGCAGUCAAGGUGAGCCGUGGAGAGAAGUGGUUGUUAUUGCUCAGCUCUCAAGGAGAACAAUUUUUCAGCAGCUUGAUCAUGUCACAAGAGGGAUCUGCCCAGUGUCAAGGAUGAUGUUUGAGAUUGAGGCUUCAGGUGAGUUGAGGAUUGUGAGUGGGAGAGGGAGGGUGAGCAGGUAUCCAGUUAGGAGUUCUUGGGAGGGGGUUUGCAGGCAGCAGGGUGAGAAAGGGUGUUUAUUUGUUUAUUUGAGGGCCCCCCCACAAGGCUUCUAGCAGAGGCAUUCCCAUGUCUUAGAGCACACAGAGUCAUCCAGUGCACUCACAGGAAUGCCAUUUAACUUUGCCUUUCUCUA
This is a long non-coding RNA of Zonotrichia leucophrys gambelii, 2790 nucleotides long. RefSeq lists it as uncharacterized. Lineage: Eukaryota; Metazoa; Chordata; Aves; Passeriformes; Passerellidae. The record is from RefSeq and is a predicted model, not a curated record. The transcript has 9 exons.